Non-coding RNA from Peromyscus maniculatus bairdii (prairie deer mouse), 1132 nucleotides. The record is from RefSeq and is a predicted model, not a curated record. Lineage: Eukaryota; Metazoa; Chordata; Mammalia; Rodentia; Cricetidae.
AUGGAAGGUGAGGAUAUGACUGACCGAAGGCAGAAGAGACUGGACAAAGUCGAAGGUGAUACCUGUUUCCUUAAUGAGAAGAUGAAUGUAUUUGAUACCGAACUGAAGGGACUGUCUAAAAUAGAACGUGCAAAUGCCUGCAACUCAGUCAUAUAACAGCUGAUGAAGGAAUUUACUCUUGAGUUUUCACGUGACAGAAAAUCAAGGUCUGUCUAUUGUACACCAAACAAACCAAGCCAGACAUGUUUGUGAAGGAUGCUCCUGAAGGUGUCAUCGACAGGUGUACCCACAUCCGAGUGGGAAGUGCCAAGGUCCCCAUGACUCCUGGUGUCAAACAGAAGAUUAUGUCUGUCAUUCGGGAGUGGGGCAGUGGGAGUGACAUGCUGUGGUGCCUGGCUCUGGCCACUCACGACAACCCGCUGAGGAGAGAGGAGAUGCACCUGGAAGAUUCAGCUAAUUUCAUCAAGCAUGAGACCAAUCUGACUUUCGCUGGCUGUGUGGGCAUGCUGGACCCUCACAGGAUUGAAGUGGCCUCUUCUGUGAAGCUGUGCUGGCAAGCAGGCAUCCAUGUCAUUAUGAUCACUGGGGACAACAAGGGAACUGUUGUGGCCAUCUGUCACCACAUUGGCAUCUUUGGGCAGGAUGAGGAUGUGACGUCAAAGGCUUUUACAGGACGGGAGUUCGAUGAGCUCAGCCCCUUGGCCUAGAGAGAAGCCUGCUUGAAUGCCCACUGUUUUGCUCAAGUUGAACCUUCCCACAAGUCUAAGAUCGUUGAGUUCCUCCAGUCCUUUGAUGAGAUCACAGCUAUGACUGGUGAUGGUGUGAAUGAUGCCCCUGCUCUGAAGAAAUAUGAAAUUGGCAUUGCUAUGGGUUCAGGUACUGCAGUGGCCAAGACUGCCUCUGAGAUGGUCCUGGCAGAUGACAACUUCUCCACCAUCGUGGCUGCCGUUGAGGAGGGUCAAGCCAUCUACAACAACAUGAAGUAGUUCAUCCGAUACCUCAUCUCGUCCAACGUGGGGGAAGUGGUCUGUAUUUUCCUGAUGGCGGCCCUUGGUUUUCCUGAGGCUUUGAUUCCUGCCCAGCUGCUCUGGGUCAAUCUGCCUGCCACUGUGCUGGGGUUCAACCCUCCAGA